This 467-nucleotide ribosomal RNA is filed under the name uncultured bacterium. RNAcentral's name for it is "bacterial SSU rRNA". It matches the Rfam family "Bacterial small subunit ribosomal RNA", at positions 28 to 496 of the family's 1533-position model. The record is from RNAcentral.
GAUGAACGCUGGCGGCGUGCUUAACACAUGCAAGUCGAACGGGAAUUACUUUAUUGAAACUUCGGUCGAUUUAAUUUAAUUCUAGUGGCGGACGGGUGAGUAACGCGUGGGUAACCUGCCUUGUACAGGGGGAUAACAGUCAGAAAUGACUGCUAAUACCGCAUAAGCGCACAGGACCGCAUGGUCCGGUGUGAAAAACUCCGGUGGUAUAAGAUGGACCCGCGUUGGAUUAGCUUGUUGGUGGGGUAACGGCCCACCAAGGCGACGAUCCAUAGCCGGCCUGAGAGGGUGAACGGCCACAUUGGGACUGAGACACGGCCCAGACUCCUACGGGAGGCAGCAGUGGGGAAUAUUGCACAAUGGGGGAAACCCUGAUGCAGCGACGCCGCGUGAAGGAAGAAGUAUCUCGGUAUGUAAACUUCUAUCAGCAGGGAAGAAAAUGACGGUACCUGACUAAGAAGCCCCGG